This 574-nucleotide ribosomal RNA is filed under the name uncultured bacterium. RNAcentral's name for it is "bacterial SSU rRNA". The stretch from base 1 to 514 matches the Rfam family "Bacterial small subunit ribosomal RNA", at positions 338 to 873 of the family's 1533-position model. The record is from RNAcentral.
CCUACGGGAGGCAGCAGUGGGGAAUAUUGGACAAUGGGGGAAACCCUGAUCCAGCAAUGCCGCGUGAGUGAUGAAGGCCUUCGGGUUGUAAAGCUCUUUUGUUAGGGACGAUGAUGACGGUACCUAACGAAUAAGCUCCGGCUAACUUCGUGCCAGCAGCCGCGGUAAUACGAAGGGAGCUAGCGUUGUUCGGAAUUACUGGGCGUAAAGGGCGCGUAGGCGGCUUGAUAAGUUUGGUGUGAAAGCCCUGGGCUCAACCUAGGAAUAGCAUUGAAUACUGUCAGGCUAGAGACCGAGAGAGGGAAAUGGAAUUGCGAGUGUAGAGGUGAAAUUCGUAGAUAUUCGCAAGAACACCAGUGGCGAAGGCGAUUUCCUGGCUCGGUACUGACGCUAAGGCGCGAAAGCGUGGGGAGCGAACAGGAUUAGAUACCCUGGUAGUCCACGCUGUAAACGAUGAAUGCUAGAUGUUGGUGGAGGAAUCCAUCAGUGUCGUCGCUAACGCAANANNAUCNCNGGAGACGCGCAGAUAAUAAAGUAAGUAGAGNGNGAGAGNGCGAGACGACGACGAGGAGAG